Long non-coding RNA from Sinocyclocheilus rhinocerous, 112 nucleotides. RefSeq lists it as uncharacterized. The record is from RefSeq and is a predicted model, not a curated record. Lineage: Eukaryota; Metazoa; Chordata; Actinopteri; Cypriniformes; Cyprinidae. The transcript is spliced from 4 exons.
ACUAAUGAUAUGUACAUGGUAAAUGUGUAGCACCUACGGAAAAAUGUGGUAUUAUGUGGUAACAAACAAGACACAUACUGUACUUGGUAUACACGGUAUGCUUGUCAAGUCC